Molecule: long non-coding RNA, 931 nt
Organism: Lolium perenne
Lineage: Eukaryota; Viridiplantae; Streptophyta; Magnoliopsida; Poales; Poaceae
Source: RefSeq, a predicted model, not a curated record
CACUACUAAUAAAAGAGCCAACAAGAAUUUUUCUAAAGCCACCCCGUCAAUUGUACACGGAAAGAUUACCACCACACGAUUAGCCCCCGUAGUUUCGAUCAGACCAUCAGCGUUAAUCUUGUGUGCACUUAGCAUUUUACAAUGACUGACCAUUCUCCACCUCCAGAGGAAUAUUCCACGGAACACUCCGUCCGCAGAGGAAAACUACCCGUCCCCAAAUCCACAGCCCCUAGCACAAAUCGUAGAAACGUCCUUUCCCCGUUCCUCGGGCACGGGAAUCUCGCCGCCGCCGCCACACCGCAGCUUCGGCCGCCGCCGCCCCUCCCCGACAGCUGGUACAGGGCCGGCGGUACAUCCCACUCGACGGUCCUCCAUGCAAAUGGAGGAGCAGCUCAAGACAUUGAUAGUCCUUUCUCACUACCUAGAGACUGGUAGGUUCCGCCAGUUUUGAGAUGAGGCAUCAAAGAACCGUAACAUAUUGGAAGUUGUUCCAGGUUCAAAGAACUUGAAGAAAUCAAUAUGACAAUAGGACAAGCUUCACCAGUAGAGCAACAAGGAGGCGUCAGCAAACUUGUUAUGUAAAUACUCUUUUUGAAUGAGAUAAGAAGUACUAGCGAGGUAGAUUACAACGUGAAGAGUAUCUUUUUAUUUUUUGCCUAGAACAGAUCUUAGCCAUGGAUUCUACUUGGAACUUACAUGAUUGUGUUUGUAUAUUGUAGGUUUGAGAAGUUUUAGGCUACGUCAAUUUCAGACCUGGUGUUGGGUUACUUACGUGUGUGUUGCUCCUUUCUGUGCAAGUAUUAAUAGAUUGAGAUGCAAUACCACAGUAUUUGCAACUGUUGUAAGAUUAUGUCUGUCCUGCAUGAUAUGUAGCGUUACAUUUCUAAACAGUCUAUUAAAUAAGUCGUGGUUAUCAAACAAAUUCAUGAAA